RNAcentral lists this ribosomal RNA (427 nucleotides) under uncultured bacterium. RNAcentral describes it as "bacterial SSU rRNA". It matches the Rfam family "Bacterial small subunit ribosomal RNA", at positions 355 to 774 of the family's 1533-position model. The record is from RNAcentral.
UAGGGAAUAUUGGACAAUGGGGGCAACCCUGAUCCAGCCAUGCCGCGUGAGUGAAGAAGGCCCUCGGGUUGUAAAGCUCUUUUGUCCGGAAAGAAAAGCAUUCGGUGAAUACCCGGAUGUUCUGACGGUACCGGAAGAAUAAGCACCGGCUAACUUCGUGCCAGCAGCCGCGGUAAUACGAAGGGUGCAAGCGUUACUCGGAAUUACUGGGCGUAAAGCGUGCGUAGGUGGUUGUUUAAGUCUGAUGUGAAAGCCCUGGGCUCAACCUGGGAAUGGCAUUGGNGACUGGGCAGCUAGAGUGCGGUAGAGGGUAGUGGAAUUCCCGGUGUAGCAGUGAAAUGCGUAGAGAUCGGGAGGAACAUCUGUGGCGAAGGCGACUGCCUGGACCAGCACUGACACUGAGGCACGAAAGCGUGGGGAGCAAACA